This 2614-nucleotide long non-coding RNA is filed under the name Sus scrofa (pig). RNAcentral describes it as "lncRNA (ENSSSCG00035001666.1)". The record is from RNAcentral. Lineage: Eukaryota; Metazoa; Chordata; Mammalia; Artiodactyla; Suidae.
GGAGCGAAGACUGCUGCUCUGUCCUGCCACAAGCUACGCAGUGGGGUGUCACUCCAGGACCCUGCUCCAUACCCGAACAUAAGAAACCCAAGGUGUCAUGUGAGAGGCCUUUGUGGAGAAACUCACAGGGAGAAGAACCAAAGACCCACACCCAGGACCCGUUCUGACCCAGCCUCUGGCCAGUACCAACUGCCAGCUAUGUGAGAGGCCAUUUUGGAACUUCCAACAGUACCAGUGGCCCAGCUGAUACCACAUGAAGAAGCACGGCCAGCCAACGCACAUAACUGUGAGAAAGAAAUUGUGAAUUUUAAGAUACUAAGCUUUGGGAUGGUGUGUGACACAGAAAUAAAUAACUGAAAUAACUGUCUACCACGUGCCAGGCACUAUUUUAUGCCCUUCUUGUCUACUAGGGUGAACAAAUGUAAACUGACAGGUGCAGAUGAAGAUACUGUGAGAGGGCAGAGGAAAUGCCACUAACCAGUUGAAGGCAGCCUGCAGGGAGAAGCAGACAGCUAGGUGAUUAUGGGCAGACCAGCACUGAUGGGCAAACUACCAAACUCAGAUCCCAGCUUUUGCCAGACAGCACUGCAUCUUCCUCCACCAGGUGCUUCUUCAAGGUAUUAAUAGGGUCUGUCUCUGUUUCUAACUCCAGUUCAUGUUUGGACAGCUGGGCAGUGUCUUGAAGGUUUCUGAACUUCUGGACCUUUCUGAAGUAAGAAAUUGGCCAAUUCUAGGUACCUCUAGAUGGGCGGUUAAUGAGCCUGUGUCAAGCUUCAGUGGACACUGCAUGUUCCCAAGAGAUAGACAGUUAGCAAAUGUUGUUCCUUUUCCCUGAUUUCUGGGGAGGGGAGUGUUUUGGGGUAGGUCUGUGACCCCCUAAUGUCCUCUCAGGUCUGUCUCCUGGUCAUUAUUUGGAUGUAUGGAAGAUACAUCUCCAUUUUGCCCUCCCCUCAUUUUUCAGAUAGGGGAUUAUUCUGAGCCCUAUCCUUACUCUGGGCAUAGGCUGUUGGGGCCAGCUUCACCCUCACCAGUUUCCUGGUAAACAACUCUUGAUUUUUGAAUUCUAAAUACAUAGUUCUUCCUCUUGCCCCUUCUGACAUUAUUAAGAUGAUCAUAAGCAUUCAAUGAACAGGUAUUUUAACAAAUAUCUAUUCCGUGCCAACAAUGUGUCCAGUUCAGUUCUAGGAGCUGAGGAUAUAGUAGUGAACAAGUGAGAAAGUUCCUACACCCAUGUAGCUGAUCUUAUGAGAGAGACAGACAACAAUAAAUAAAUGCAUAAUUUUGGGUAGUGAUACCUACUCUGUAAAAAAAUCAAGCAGGUUAAGCAGAUUUGGCUGGGGGACUAUUUUUACAUAAGGUAGUCUGAAAAGAUCUCUCUUAUAAGGUGACAUUUGAGAGAUCUGAAUGAAACAUGAGGCUAAAUAUUUCAGGCUAAGUGAGCAGGAAGUAUGAAGGUCCUGAGGCAGGAAAAAACAGGGCAAAUGCAAUGAAUAGCAGCAAUUCGGUUUGUGUGACUAAAGCAGGUAGAACAUUAGAGGCUGAUAGGAGAAGAGGGUGGAGGAGAGAUAGAAACCAGGUUAGACAGGGCUUCUAUACAUUUGGAAGUUGUUCUAAAUAAAAUGGCACGAACUUGUUUAUGUUUACAGAUAUCUUCCUAGAUGCUGCUUGGAGAAUAGACUGGGGAAGGGGCAUGAAAGAGGUAGAAGCAGGGUAACCAUUUAGGAGGCUACCAUAUAACCCAGGUUAAGAUAUUGGUGCCUUGGUCCAGGAUAGCUACAGCAGAGUUAGCAAGUGGUUAAUUCUGAUGAUUUGAAGGUAGCACUGACAAGACUUGCUGAAGGAUUGGAAAUGUCAUUUAAGAAUAAGAAAAGUGAGUUCCCAUUGUGGCUCAGCAGGUUAAGAACCUGAGUAGUAUCCAUGAGGAUUCAAGUUCGAUACCUGGCCUCGCUCAGUAGGUUAAGGAGCCAGUGUUGCUAGGAGCCGUGCUGUAGGUCACAGAGCAGACAUGGUUCAGAUCCCCGCUGCUGUGGCUGUGGCAUAGGCUGGCAGCUGCAGCUCUUGAUUAGACCCCCUAGCCUGGGGAACUUCCAUAUACUGCUGGUGUGGCCCAAUAAAAAUAAGUAAAUAAAUAAAAGAAUAAGAAGCACAUUGGGGGCACCUGUCAGGUUUGGGGAUUGGGAAAAUAAAUGAACAACAGUGCCAUUCUUGGAGGUAGGUGAGAACAGGAGUAGAUUGUAGGGAGUAGGUUGUUGCAGGGGGAUGUGUUGAAUUUGAGGUACUGGUAAGAGAGGCAGUUGAAUGAGUUGGGUGGUCAGGUCUGGAGAUAGAAAUUUUGCUUUCAGGAGUUCCCGUCAUGGCUUAGUGGUUAAUGAAUCCGACUAGGAACCAUGAGGUUGCAGGUUUGAUCCCUGGCCUUGCUCAGGGGUUAAAGAUCUGGCAUUGCCGUGAGCUGUGGUGUAGGUUGCAGACGUGGCUCGGAUCCUGCGUUGCUGUGGCUCUGGCGUAGGCCAGCGGCUACAGCUCUGAUUUGACCCCUAGCAUGGGAACCUCCAUAUGCCACAGGAGCGGCCCUUUUUCUAGGCAAAAAGACAAAAAAAAAAAAAAAAAAAAAAAA